GACCACUCUGGUGGCCUAAAUGGUUAGAUCAUCCGCCUCGGAUGCAGGAGGUCACGGGUUCGAACCCCGGGCGGGCCA
Molecule: non-coding RNA, 78 nt
Organism: Potamilus streckersoni
Lineage: Eukaryota; Metazoa; Mollusca; Bivalvia; Unionida; Unionidae
Source: the annotation of a GenBank genome assembly